Molecule: ribosomal RNA, 542 nt
Filed under: Palaemon paludosus
Lineage: Eukaryota; Metazoa; Arthropoda; Malacostraca; Decapoda; Palaemonidae
Also listed under: 1 other name
Description: bacterial SSU rRNA
Rfam family: Eukaryotic small subunit ribosomal RNA
Source: RNAcentral
UACCACAUCCAAGGAAGGCAGCAGGCACGCAAAUUACCCAAUCCCAGCUCUGGGAGGUAGUGACGAAAAAUAACAAUGCGGGACUCUUCCGAGUCUGCGUAAUUGGAAUGAGCACACUUUAAAUCCUUUAGCAACAACCAAUUGGAGGGCAAGUCUGGUGCCAGCAGCCGCGGUAAUUCCAGCUCCAAUAGCGUAUAUUAAAGUUGUUGCGGUUAAAAAGCUCGUAGUUCGAGCUCAGUUCCGGACUGGCUGGGGAGGUCACCGCCCGGUGCUUGCCCGUCAGGCUCCGAACAGCUUCCGUGAGUGGAAGCCAAGCCGGUUCUGCCGGGGUGCUCUUCACCGAGUGUCCCGUGCGGCCGGCCAGUUCACCUUGAAUAAAUGAGAGUGCUCAAAGCAGGCUACUCUCGAAUACAAUGCCCGAAUGUUACCUGCAUGGAAUGAUGGAAGAUGAUCUCGGUUCCAUUUUCUUGGUGGUGGGAGCCAGAGGUAAUGAUAAAGAGGGACUGUCGGGGGCAUCCGUACUACGACGCGAGAGGUGAAAU